UAUAGGAGUUUCAGGUUAUACUGCUUGCCAAUUCACCACUAUAUUAAAGACUUUAUUUUAUUUUAUUUUAUUUUUGGCAUAAAAAAAGUCUGGUAUAUAUCUGGUUAAUGAUCUUAUGUUUGCUGGUGAAUUCGUUAUCUAGUCACUGCUUUCUUUAUUUCAUCACUGUAAAGCAAAUGCUAAUCUUGUAGGAAUUCUUCUACCAUUAUUGACUUAUGACUAAUUUUAUGACUCAUAAGAUCUUGUUCCAUUAUGUCACUCCUUUCGACUGUUUUCUGCCCCUGCUAACCUGGAGUGGUCUUGUUCAUUUUAAGAAUAUGGAUACAAAGUUUUACCCUGGCUCAUCUUGUAAUCACAAGUCAUUUGGGAGAAAUUUGUCCAUUAAUGUUCAAGUAACUAGAAGGUUCAGCUACGUUGAUCUUAUGGUUGACUUCCCCUGCAACAGAGAUAGUUUUUCAAGUUAUAUAGACCCCACUUUGUGAUCUGAGAUGGGUCGCUCAAAUUAUACCUAUUAUAUGGAGAGGGUGGAACUUUUUUAAGGUCAAUGGAAUUGGGAUAGACAGUCUAUACAAACGUAAGCUGCCACUCAUGAGACUUUUUCAUGUUUGCUAGGGUUGUCCUUUAACUCAAUGCUGGUGCUGGUAUAUGCUUUGAGAUUUUUGGUUUGGUUGGAGUAGCUUAUUGUUUCCCCAAAAAAAAAAAAAGGAGUUGAAACUUAAAUUACCUAUAUGUAAAGUAUGAGAGGUUGUUUUCUAGUUUAAGGUGUAAAUACUUAUUCUUGUGUAUGUGUUUUCUUGAUCAUUAUGGUUGAAUCCUAACAUGUUUCCUAUCUUGUUUGUCAUUUAUGUGGAGGCUGCGAAUAUCGUUUGCUCAAGUAUUCAGCCUUACCAGAAUAUAUCUAUUCUUGUAAGAAGAAGUGCUCUAUGGAUUUUCAUUGACAUAUGGUCAUUCGUGCAUGUCUCAAAUAUUAACCAUAAGAAAUCAUGUUUGAUUUCCUUUAUCUAUGCAGAAAUUUAUGAAAGAAAAAUUGGGUCCUGAUGCAGAUUUUGCUUGGGCUCGAGAUCAAAUUCGAAGAGGCUUUGCUGGUAAGCCUUUAAAUUUCCUUUGCAACAACAAUUAUAGUACUAAUUCUGUUACUUGAGAAGAAUCACUAUAUCACCCUUCUGGCUUACCAAGAUAUACCUUCUCAACUUAUCUUCAACUAUUUAAGAGUGUCUAUUCUGCUAUUUCCUGACAAAGGUUACACGAAAUUAGUUGUUAAGAGACUGAGGAGCGCAAAAUAUAUAUAAAAUCAAUGGGUUUGGUUCUGCUGUUGGUAAUUGAGGUACUUAAUGCAGCUCUGGAAAAAUGGGCCCUUCUCAACUUACUAUAAUCAAUUCAGAUGAAUUGGUUGGUCAUCAUUUUUUUUUUCAGAUUCUGGUGUGGUUUGCUCGUUGGCUUAGGCAAAACGAAACUCCAUCAGACAUCAUAAUGAAGUCAAUUUUCUCUCAUCUAAUAGGUUUCCAAGUUCCUUGAUCUUCAUUUUACAUGGACAGAAUAACUCACUAGUUUUUGAUAUGUCAUGCAUUCCUAUGUGUUACUGCUAUAUUUUGUCCAUUUAAGCAAACAGUGUCCUUGUCAUUUUCACUAACACAACACAAAUAACUUAAUGUCACUACAAUUAGUGUAAGGCAAGUGAUUCACAUGUUUUGUUCAAUAUUCAAUUGUAAGUUUAUUGGAUCAUUCACAAUUUGAGGAGGACUAGUUGUCUUAUGGUGCAGUCUCAUUUUGAUUCCACAACUUGUCUUCCUUUUUGAGACAAGCUCUUAUGCAGUGAUUAUUUUGUCCAAUACAAGGAGCAUGAGUUAUGAUUUGUGCUCAAGUUGACUGGUCACUGCAACUCUUCAUCAUAACUCACAUUGUAGUAUGGGAAGACAGUUGUGGGGGAAUUUACACUUUUAGGAUGAGAUUUGACUGACCUGGACUGAGGCAACAGAUACCGAGGUUUGCCAUCCAUCACAAGGAAGAGAUGCAUAAUGUUCUGACAUAUGUCCCCCAAGUAUUGAUUAGUUGAAGAACAUCAAAAUGCUUGAUGAACAUAGCUGGUUCCUUUUUUUCUCCGUUUCUUUUUUUUAAUUUACUCCUUUAUCAGGCAAAGUAACAAGGAUGUUAAGGAAAUGACCUAAUAUUUUCUUUGAUCCUAAUCAAGGAAUUAGUUCUUUGACUAACAAUUCUUGUGAACUUGAAUUAUUUCAGUUAAUCAUUGUAUUUUAUGUUUGGGCAUAAAUUUGGUAAAAGUACUCUUAAUUGUCUCAUUCUUUCUAUUAGCUGCUAUUUACCAUCUCUAUUCCCAUGCACAUUGCCUGAUUCUGGAAUUCUACUGGCAGCUCUUGAGAAGCUGUUGAAAGAUUAUUCUGGAAAGUAUGCUACCGGGGACGAAGUUUUUCUGGUCUGUUUCCUUCUUAUUGCACUUUAUUGCCUGUAUUGAUGCAUGCAAGUUUCUGUUUUUUACUCUGAUAGUGCUAAUAGCAAGUUACGUGGCUAAUAUGACCAUCUUUAGUUUAGAUUCCACAAUUAGCAAUGUAUCUUCUUAAAUAAAUUAGCAGGGUAUCUUCUUAAAUAGAAAUAUGGUGGAUUUGUGCAAGUGAACUUAUUUUGCACUCAGUUCCGUCUCUUUUGCAUUUGGUGACUUGGACCCUGCAUGUUAUUCUCGGUCUGGGAUAACCCAUUUAGCUGAUGUUUAUAUAUGUCUCCACCCAUUUUUCUAAAGGGUAGAUGGGGUUUUUACUUAAGAAAAGUUGGUAUAUUUAGGCCAAUUAAAGCAGCAUAUGAAAGACUUGAGAAAUCAGACCGAGUUUGAGACGACAAAUAAAUUCUAACACCAAUCAGUGCAGGCAAUUUUGGUCUAGAAACUACUCAGUAUUCCCAUCACAAUUCCUGUAGCGUAGCAUUGAAAGGUGCAUUACGGUCUCAAUUUAGUGAAGACUUAGGUGUUGCAUGUCCCCCUCAAUGUCUAGAUAACUUCCAAUUAUUCAACAUGAUGUAUGAAUCUGAUGUCAGCAGUGAGAAUCAUAUUGCAUUAGGUUCCUUGGAGGAGAAAAUGAGGUGGACGUAACUUGGUAAGGUCUGUUCAUGUCAGACUUUCUUGAAGGAUAGACGCUUAGUGAAUUUUUACGGCUAUAACUUCUCAAAUAGAAUUAGAGGUAAUUUUUCUGCUGCUUCUGAUAAGUAUAUCUUCUUUUCCAUUAUUUGCAGGCUGAUUUAUUUCUGGCACCGCAGAUUGAUGGUGCCAUUAGAAGAUUCAAGGUUGACAUGGUAAUCUCCUCAAUGUGUUAUAUUUUGGGUGGCAUUUUAGCUUAGCACUUACCUUUUUCUCUUCUAGUUUCAGUUGAUUACCAACGGCAUAUUUGUUUGCUACUGUGGCGUUAUCAAAGAUCUAUAUUUUGGUUAAUUGCCAAUUGCACUAUUCUGAUUGGAACUAACUUGAAGAUGAUCUUAUUUUUUCAGCUGUUUCUCCAGUUCUGAAUUAACACCUACUUGAAAUUCAUUUUGCAGCUGUUAUGCUGAUUCUUUCUAGCAAUAUGCAUCUUCAAGCUGCUGCUUGACUUUUUCCUUGAGUUUUAUGAAGGAUCCUGACUUUCUAGUUUGUAAUAUGUUUUGUAUGUUAUAGAACGUUUGUAAUUAUCUUUCCUGGGUUUCAUCUGCAUUAUUAGCGGAUUUGUUUCUGUUGUUAAAUUACUCUAAACUUUUAACCGUCUGUAUUCAUAGGAUGAGUUUCCUCUUCUGGCGAGGAUUUUCGAGGCAUAUUUAGAGCUACCUGCAUUUCGGGAUGCUAUGCCAGAAAGGCAGCCUGAUGCACCAGCUGAGCAUCGAGACUGAGGUAUUCAACUUAUUGAUAGAGUAACUGAUUUCUUCUUUUUUAAACCAAACUUUUUCUCAAGAGAAGCAUCUUUGACUGAAGGAAGAGAGACAGAGAAGUAAACUUGACUGGUGAUCCAGCAGUCGCAUGUUAGCUUUUCAGUGCAUCUGAUAUCAGUAGAAUCCUAUAUUUUCCUUUACCUUCUGAGUCUUGCAUGUUUGUCCCCUUGUCUUUUGAAUUCCGAUCAGUCUACUCUUUAACAUGCGUUUGUAUUGCAGCUUUGCUGUUCUUCGUCAGGUAUUCAAUAUGAAAUCCUGGCUUUUUCUUGUAAAUGGCAUGGCAAACAUGGGGUGGUGGAAACAAGAAAUCACGAAAGCAGGAUAAAUAAGUGAUGACCAAUUUCCACUGAUGUCUAUACUCUGUAGACCAUUUCUUUGUACAAAUGUUACUCAUCCAUGUUUGUUUAUUUCCCAUGGCGGACUUGCUUCAUUUCCAAAGAAGAAGUGAACUGACUUCAUCCCAGGAUGCAGCAGUACCUUUGUAAGCAAUACUACUGUGUUUAACUUGUUAUCUAGCAUGUCGUCUUCGACUUGAUAAACCAAGUCAAGUAAAUCAAUGUUUUUUAUUUUUAUUUAAAGCAAGUUAUUGUUGAAUUUUGACUAAGGAGAGCAAGUAAUAAUACCUUAUUCUUUAAAAGAACAGAGAAACAUUUAUUAUUUAUUAUUUUCUCAAUAAGCAGAGGAAAAUAAUCCAAGCUAUACAACGCCUUACAUAUGGCCCAAUUUGUGAAACGAGAAGCUUUCAUAUGUUCCAUAACUUAUUCCAGUUUUUCUCAUUUCAGUUCUCUAAACGGAUAAGAGCUCCAUCCGCCCAUAUUAGGACACGCAUAGUUGAGAUUUUGCUGCUGUUUUUGUGUAUGUUACAUGAAUUUAGUGUAAAUUUUUGUUCAUCUUAUUAAUUCAAUACAUGAGUAAAACUAAUUUUUGUAAGUGUACAUUAAAUCUUGAAAGGAAUAUAACAAUCAUAUCGACUGUACCUAAAAUCUACCAAACAGGCCAACGAUGCAUAUACGAAAAGAUGUGUCGAAUUUGCUUUUGCUUCUUGGUUUCACCUCCUCUUAGCUGGUUGCUAUAACCAUUAAAGGGAUUUUUUCAAAGAAAAAAAAGGCAACAAAAACAAAAGUCCUACUUGAGCAGUUGAGCUUAAUCAAUAUUGUCUAACAACUAUUGACUCUAUGAGUUCUUGCAUCGACUAUGGUUCUGUUUGGAUUCUUCGUUUCUUGAAAAAUAAGUUUUUCAUAUAUAAUGGUACAGUAAUAUAUAAAUAAAAAUAAUUUCAAAAACACUACAUUCAUAUAAUAUAUAAAAAAACUUCAAAUAUAUACAAAAAAAUUAAAAAAUAUACAAAAAAUUUACAUCAUUUUCUUCUUUCAUCUAUCACCACCAUCCCUUCCUUCCUCCAUCCUCUCUUUCCUUUUCUCCUCUCAUCUUCUUCCUCCUCUCCUCCCUUCUCCUUCCAUUUCAUGCCACACCUAUCGAGGCAAUGUAUUAGAGGAGGGGGGAGAGAUGAGAGGGGUGGGGUGUGACAGGAAAGAAUAGGGGAGGAGAGGAGGGUAAGGGAAACGAAGGAGAGGAGAGAGGGAGAAGGAAGAGAGAUAAGCGGGAAGAAAGAGAGGAAGAAGGAGGAUGGAGGUUUGGAGCGGAGGAGGGAGGGAUUGGUGAUGGUGAUAGAUAGUAGUUUUAAUUUUUAAAAAAUAUUUCAAAAUUUUUUAAAUUUUACAAAAGCCUAAAAUAUAUGCCAAAAAUAUUUGUAGUAAAAAUUUUCAUAUAUAUUAGGAAAAUUUGCCAAAUUGGAGAGGAGAGGGAAAUUUUUCAUAUAUAUUCAGGGACAAGACUAUCUACUCUUUACUAUUGCAUGUUUGACUAAGACUCGCUAAACAACAACAGUUGAAUAUAUGAUGACGAUGUUGAUGUUGCGUUUUGUUCCUAAAGGAGAAAAUCUGAUGCAGCAAAUACUUAGUGUCGAUUGAAGAAUCUACUGAAAUACUCACUACUUGCAACUUAAGAAUUAAUAUGAGCAAUAUCUGUGCUUACUGCUUUCUAAAACAUAUAUUAUCUUAUUGGCCAAAAUAUGCAGGUUGAUUUAUUCCUAGCACCCCAAAUUUAUGCUGCCAUUACAAGAUUCAAGAUCGAGAUGGUAAUGUCCCCAAAAGACUGUCUUAUGCCUUGAAGUUUAAGUCUCUAAUUCAAUUUAAUUCUUGACCAGCUGUUUAAUUUUUGGCAUGAGUUUCAUGAAGUAUCCUUAUUUCUAAUGUGCAAAUACAUGCUAUAGUACUUGAUUCAUAAACUUUUGUGGUGAAGUCAUUGAUCAGCUGCUUAACUUUUACCAUUAGUUUCAUGAAGGAUCCUUCCCUUCCAAUCUUCAAAUAUAUAGCUUCUAUUAUGAGAAGAUCGAAUUAUUUGUCCUACAUGUUAGCUGCAUUAUAACGAGUUAGCGUUAUAUGUUCUUUCUGUUAUCAAGUGAUUCAUGGCUUAUUGAACUUUUUGUUUCUUAGGAUGAGUUUCCUCUUCUAUCAAGGUUGUUUGAGGCAUACAUAGAGCUACCUGCUUUCCAAGAUAAUAUUGUUGAUUUUUUGGGGCAUAAACUAAGAAACAACACUUUAGUGUUGCAAAAAAAACUUAUAAGAGACUUGUAUUAAAGGUAGAAAAUGAGCUUAUGUUCUACAUUCAUCAACUCACUAUUUAUAGUGAUUACAUGAAAUAAACUAGCAAAAUAUCCAACUAACAAUUAUUCUAAAAAUCUCAACAAAAUAUAAUCUUCUACUACUAACAAAUCUUAGCUAAUAUAUUUGUUAACAACCCAACAUGAUAUUUGAUUAACAAAUAUCCUUAUUUUCUAAUAACUAAAUUAUUUUGAUAUCAAAUCCAAUCUGAUAAAAUCUGUAGGAAAAGUUGGCAUAUCUCAACACUCCUCCUUGCCACUUUUGCUGCAGAUUUUCAAUUGCCUUCUCAAAUAUUUGAACCUUGUUUUAGACAAGGCUUUCAUAAAAAUGUCUGCAAUUUGGCCAUCAGUCUUGCAAUGUUUCUUGAGCCAAACUUCAAAAUUAAUACCAAUUUUUUCGAUGUAUUCAAAUGAUUUCUUUGCAACUUGAAAGUGGAACUCCCAUACGUAAUAGAUGAACCUGAAGAAGAAAUUCACAAUACAAAAAAUGAUUGCUAUGAGAGACAUAAAACAAUCCUUCAAAUUUUUGUAUAGCCUUUUAUCAGCUAUGUCACCAUCAUCAUCCUUGGGUAGCAUUUCAUGAAUUUUCACAAUGUAACCUCAUUCAAUUGCCUCAUCAGUGAUCUCCUCUUGAAUUUUAGCAACAUCUGAAUUUUUUGGUUCACCAUACUGCACCUUAGAAUUGUCAAUUUUUGACAAAUUCAAAGCAAAAUUUUUGCCUCUCAUUUUCACUGAGAAAAGUUCAUUUCGAACUGGAUUAUGUAUAACACAGGUCCUAUUUUUGAAGAUGAUAGAAUAAUUCUUCUCCAAUAACUGUCCAACACUUAACAGAUUUUGAUUAAUUUCAAGUACAUACAAAAUAUUAGAAAUAAUUUUGGUACCUGAACCAUAAUCAAUAGCAACACUACAUUUGCCUUUCACCUUAAUAUAAUCUCCAUUUCCAAUUCUGACUUUGGAGAUUUGCGAUUUAUCAAAUUUCCUAAAUAUAGAUUCAUCAUAUGCCAUGUGAUGAGUGCAACCACUGUCUAUUAGCCAAGUUUCAGUAUUGAAAUUAUUGCUUGCAAAACAUGUGGCCAUGAAAAGUUGCUCCUCAUCUUGUUCAUCAACCAUCUGAGCGUGAUGUUCUCUUUUUCCUUUAUUUUUGCAAACUCUCUCCAUAUGCCCCAUUUGCUUACAAAAUCUACAUUGAAUGUCAGGUCUAAACCAACAACAUAUUGAAAGAUGUGAGGUUUUCUUACAGUGUGGACACAGAGGAUUUCUGCCAUUUUUUUUCUCAUAUUUGCUAUUUUUUCUUGAUCAUUUCUUUCACCUUGUCGAAUUUGAUCAUUGUUUAUUGCUUGAAAAGCAUCUUCAAUGACUUCUUCAGUUCUUAUGACUCGUCUUUGUUCUUGUGCCUCUAGAGCAUUGAUCAAUUCUAGCAAGGUCAUCCGAGAGAUCUCUUGAAUCUUCAAGAGAGCAAAUCUUGGCUUCAAACUCACCAAGACUUUCUCCACAACUCUGCUAUCUGAAAGUUGUUCUCCAAUCAAUCUGAUUUUGUUCACAACAUUUAAGAGUCUGUCAGAAUACUCUUUAAUAUUUUCUUUGUCUUUCAUCCUAAGGAGUUCAAAUUCUCUCCUAAGGUUCAAAACUUGCAUCUGUCUUGUUCUGUCAUUGCCUUGAAAAAUCACUUUGAGAGCAUCCCAAGCUUCUUUUGCAGUUUCACAAGUCAUAAUUUUUGUGAAUACUGCAUCAGAAAUUGCUGAAUGAAUGCAAGUCAUGGCUUUUGAUCUCCUUUUGACUGCAUCUCUAUGGGCUCUCAUUUCUGUAAUAGUUGGAUCUUCUGACAAUUCAGGAACAUGAUCUGUCUCUACCACAUUCCAAAGAUCAUUAGCAUCCAAAUAGGACUUCAUUUUGACAGCCCAGAUUUGGUAAUUUUCACCAGUGAAACUUGAAGGAUUGGACAAUAAGUUGUUUCCUGGCAUUUUGAUGUUGAAGGCUUAAGUGUGAAAAAGGAAUUCUCACCAGAUUCACUCACUUUUAAAGAAACAGACCCUUAAGAUUUAGACUCUUGAUACCACUUUGUUGGUUUUUUAGGGUAUAAACUAAGAAACAACACCUUAAUGUUGCAAAAAAAAACUUAUAAGAGACUUGUAUUAAAAGUAGAAAAUGAGUUUAUAUUUUACAUUCAUCAACUCACUAUUUAUAGUGAUUACAUGAAACAAACUAGCAAAAUAUCCAACUAAUAAUUAUCUUAAAAAUCUUAACAAAAUAUAAUCUUCUACUACUAGCAAAUCUUAGCUAAUAUAUUUGUUAACAAUCCAACAUGAUCUUUGCUUAACAAAUAUCCUUAUUUUCUAAUAACUAAAUUAUUUUGAUAUCAAAUCCAAUCUUAUAAAAUCUGUAGGAAAACUUGGCAUAUCUCAACAAAUAUGCCAGGAAAACAGCGUGAUACACCAGCCGUGCAUUGAGUCUGAGGCAUUUUACCUAUGCUGCUAACAGGUCACUCUAUUGUCUAUUCUGAUCUCUGUCUCUCUUUGGUAUCUCUUUUUAUGCCAAAAUAAACAAAAUGUUUCCCAAAAGGGGGAAAUAAUGAUGACGUACUCAGUUUUGUUGAUUACAUGGAAAAUGCAGAAUGUCGAUAUCCAUCUGCUGGCUCUAAGUCUUUAUCAAAUGAGACAUAAUCUUCGAGAUGAAGUGCAUGGGUCGUCCUUGGCCACUUACCCGUUAUCACAUUGUUAAAAAAAAAAAAAGUGUUAUCAUUGUUUGUUGCCAUUGUUUGAAUUGUAUUGUGGAGUAUUACAGUUUUCCACUUUGUUUUAAUUAAAAAAAAUUGGAAUUUGACUUAUUGGUACUGUUUAUUUCUCUUUUGAUGCACUUGACAUCUCCUCCAUACAUUUUCAUUGUGUUUGAUUGCUUGCUUCUUUUUUUUUGAGGGAGAGGGGGGACUUCCUAGUCAAAUGUGCAUGCAGAUGGCUAAAACAAAUGAAUAGAUUAGAAAACAAGUAAAUUAUAUAUAUAUAUAUUGAUAGUGUAUAUACUAUCACUGUUGAAUUCAUAGAAUACGUGUAAAAGUUGAAUUUCAAAUUCAAAUUUUAUAUAAUUUAUCAUUCAUCUAAUGCUGAUAGUGUAUAGAAGAUUAAUUUUUUUAAAAAAAUGAAAUAUCAGUGAAUAAAAUCAAACAUUUCAACAUUAGUCUAAUCAGGAAAUCAGAUUUCACUUCUCAAUCGCUGGACAAAAUGAAAUAUUCCAAAUGCCCAGAGCAGCAAUAUUUUGAUCACGGAUAAAAACCAAAAGGUCUAAAAAUUUCCCUUCUUCCUCCCCCACCUCAACCCAUCACCACUUCUGCUGGUCCGUUGCCAGCCAACACCGACUGGCAUCUCUUCUGUGUCAGUUCCGACGCUAGCCACCUUUUUCGGCAUCAAUAGAGGGGGUUUUUUUUUUUUUUUUCUCUUUUUCCUCCCUCUCCCUUUCCCUCCCUUCUCACCAGCUUCCUCUCUGCCCCCCAUUCCUUCCCCGUCACCCCUCCCUAUCCGUCACGCAAUCUAUGGGGGAAGGAAGAGGCGGCGGCUGAGAGAGGAGGGGAGGGGGAGAAGGAGGGGAAGAGGAAGGAGGAGAGGGAAAAGGAGAGGAAGAAGAGAAAAAAAAAAAAGAAUGCCUGUUGCUGCCGGUGGGGGUGGCUGGCUAGUGGUGAUGUGAGAGAGAAGGAGAGGAGAAUAAAGAAAAAAAAGAAAAAAGAAACAAAAGGUUUCAAUCUUAAAAUUUUUUUCUACAAAUUCUAUAGUAAGUUACAGUAAAUUUUUAAACAAGCGCCUAAAAAACCCCCGUUUGGUAAGUGAGUUUUUUAGGUGUUUGUCUAAAAUUUUAUUGUAACUUAUUAUAGAAGGUGUAGAAAAAAAUUUUAAAGUAUGUAAAUUUUUUAAUAUUUUGAAGCGUAUAAUUAAAAUUUUGAAAAUUUUUUUGAAAUUACUGUAGUUAAAGUUAUUAAAAAACUUGUAGUAAAUAAAUUUGGCAAAAAACUUGCUUACCAAACAAGGCCAAUCAGGGUCCAAAUUUUGCAGAGAUUGGGGUGGAAUGUCGUACUCCGUCUACAGCAUAUAGUAGUGUUUAUCUAGUAGAGGCCUGGGAUAUAAACUGAUCCUCAAGUAACAAACCAUUUUUUGUCCAAUAAGCACAAUACUUUAUUUGGACCUAGAGCAUUUAGCAGCGUCGAGAAUUGGUCCAUUCACUUAACCCACGAUCCACUGCCACAAGCGAUUUGGUCCAGUGGGCAAGAGUCCAAUCCUUCCUAUUUUGUUCAACUCCCAAGAUUUUGCUUAUUUCUUCCUAUUUUGUAAAUCUCUCUUGAACUUAAAAAAAAAAAAAAAAAAAGAAGUUUGCUGAGAUGGUCUUGGUCUACAAUUUACAAAUCAAGGUUGAGUAUCUUGGAUCGAGAAGUCUUGGGUCCAAGUCCCACCAAAUUAUGAGUUUAUUUGAAUUUUAUGUUGGUUUUGUCUCAUUGAGUUUUGGAUUAGUUGUAAACUUGUAAUUUGAAUCGGUUGUAAUUCAUUGAAUUAAUACUAUAAUUGUGGGUUAUAUAUAAGUAAUUUCAAGCUUUAUUUAGUUGAUUAGCUCUUCUACUUUCUUACUCCCAGGUCUUGUUUAACUCUCAAACUUUCCUCAAUCCCAAAUUCCCUUUCAUUUUGUGAGUAAACCCAAAACAUAAAAUAUAAAAAAUAUUUGACCAUAAAAUAUUCCUUGUUCAACCAGAGAAAAAAAAAAAGAAAAGUUUUCAACCUAUUCAAUAUGUAUAAUUUUUAAAAAAAAAAAUUUUCGUUUGGAUUAACUAUUUUUUAGAGUGUUUUUGGUAUUUUUGAGAUUAUUUUUGGUGUUUUUAAAGUUGUUUUUGAUAUUUUUAUUUAUGUAUUAUCGUAGCAUUAUAUAUGAAUAUUUGUUUUUCAAAAAAUGAUCAAUCCAAACGCAGCCUUCGAGUGUUAAAGAGAAAAAAAAAAAUCUCGACCCAACUAUACAGAGUACUAGUGUAGUACUAGGUACUAAGACUCUUUUUCUUUUUUGAGGGAACAGGAAAGGAGGGAAAAUAAAAGAAAUGAAACGGAGGAGUAAAAUUUUUAAUGUUUGACUAGUUUUUCAGAAGAAAAAAAUGAAAGGAUAAGGACGAAGAGGACAGGAUACGAGGAAUUUCUUGUCAGCCGGCUUUUUUGUCCAAAAGUGAACAGAAACAGAGAAAAAUAAUACCAAAAUUUAUAAAAAUUGUAAAAUUUCUUAGAAAACUCAUUACUGUGUGUUUAUAAAGUGGACUUUUUAAAUUAUGGAUAAAAAGAUGGGUUUGAUGGUGUAAACAAGUCCACAAAUUCUCAUUCUCGUCAGGCUUUGGUUUCGAGUCCACUCCAUACUUUCAACUUCUUCUUCAUCGUUAUCAUCAUAUUCAUGGUUAGUAACAUAUUGCUCUCUCUAUCUUAUUUCUGGAAUUUAAUCCAAAUUUCGUAUCAAUAUUGUUUUUUGGAAAAAAAAAAAAAUUGGGUUGCAGGCCGGAGAGGAGUCAAAGAAACUGAAGCUCUACUCGGACUGGCUGAGCUCUUGCGCUUGCCGCGUUCGCAUCGGUCUCAACUUGAAAGGUUCUCCUCAUUGAUUCCUGCGCUUUUUUUUUCGCUGCUUUUAUUUGAUUUUUAAUGAUAAUCCUCCUUUUUCUUGAUUGAUUCCCAAAAAAUCAAUGUGGUGGAUAUUUAAUUGAAAUUGAAUAUAAAAAAAAUAUGAGUAUAUGCAUCAGGAUUAGAGUACGAGUACGUGCCAGUGAACUUGCUGAAAGAAGAACAACAGACUCCUGGUUAGCCACCCUCUUCCACUCUUUCUCCUAUCUGUAAUUUUUGUGAUUAAUUAUGUUAUUCCUGGUAAUAUGCUAAGGUACUGUUAUAAUCGGCUUCAAUGAAUAUUAGUUCCUUAACAAUCUGAUCAUCAACUUCGUUCCAUAUACGAUUUACUUUUUAAGCUAUUUGCAUAACUAAGUGGUGGAACACAGAGAAAAUGUAAUGAAUGUAUGUCUGUCUUUUUUUUUUGUUUGGGGGGGGGGGUAAUUAAGGAGGGUCAGUGAUAUCAUUAUUGUUUUCUGGUGCACUAACACAGGGAACGAAGUGAAUGUUUGGUGUGGUUUUAGACCAUUAGUAUCAUUUCGAAGGAUUUCUGCUUAUUCUGCAAUAAUUUUAUCUGGUGCAAAGAAAAAAAAUCUAACACUUUAACUGAAAAUGCAGAGUUUUUGAAGCUUAACCCUGUUGGGUUUGUGCCCGUGCUGGUCGAUGGUGAUGUAGUACUUGCAGACUCUUUUGCCAUCUUGAUGGUGGGCAUCUUGUUUGAUUUUAUGCAUCCAGUUGGCUGUAUAAUACCCAGUUCUGAUGCUAGCGUGUGCCUUUUCUAUGCAGUAUCUUGAAGAAAAGUUUCCUCAGCAUUCCUUGUUACCUAAGGAUCUUCAUGGAAGGGGUAUCAACUACCAGGUAUAGGAGUUACAGGAUAUACUGCUUGCCAAUUCACCACUAUAUUAAAGACUUUAAUUUUAUUUUAUUUUUGGCAUAAAAAAGGUGUGGUAUAUAGCUGGUUAAUGAUCUUAUGUUUGCCGGUCAAUUCGUUAUCUAGUCACUGCUUUCUUUAUUUCGUCACUGUAAAGCAAAUGCUAAUCUUGUGGGAAUUCUUCUACCAUUAUUGACUUAUGACUAAUUUUAUGACUCAUAAGAUCUUGACAUCUUGUUGGAACAUUAUGUCACUCCUUUCGACUGUUUUCUGCCCCUGCUAACCUGGAGUGGUCUUGUUCAUUUUAAGAAUAUGGAUACAAAGUUUUACCCUGGCUCGUCUUAUAAUCUCAAGUCAUUUGGGAGAAAUUUGCCCAUUAAUGUUCAAGUAACUAGAAGGAUCAGCUACGUUGAUCUUAUGGUUGACUUCCCCUGCAACAGAGAUAGUUUUUCAAGUUAUAUAGACCCCACUUUGUGAUCUGAGAUGGGUUGCUCAAAUUAUACCUAUUAUAUGGAGAGGGUGGAACUUUUUUAAGGUCAAUGGAAUUGGGAUAGACAGUCUAUACAAACGUAAGCUGCCACUCAUGAGACUUUUUCAUGUUUGCUAGGGUUGUCCUUUAACUCAAUGCUGGUGCUGGUAUAUGCUUUGAGAUUUUUGGUUUGGUUGGAGUAGCUUAUUGUUUCCCCAAAAAAAAAAAAAGGAGUUGAAACUUAAAUUACCUAUAUGUAAAGUAUGAGAGGUUGUUUUCUAGUUUAAGGUGUAAAUACUUAUUCUUGUGUAUGUGUUUUCU
Molecule: long non-coding RNA, 13823 nt
Filed under: Coffea arabica (coffee)
Lineage: Eukaryota; Viridiplantae; Streptophyta; Magnoliopsida; Gentianales; Rubiaceae
Description: long non-coding RNA (CARA_LNC001408)
Source: RNAcentral